RNAcentral lists this transfer RNA (68 nucleotides) under Deroplatys truncata. Its description in RNAcentral is "tRNA-Trp". The record is from RNAcentral. Lineage: Eukaryota; Metazoa; Arthropoda; Insecta; Mantodea; Mantidae.
AAGAUUUUAAGUUAACCAAACUAAUAUCCUUCAAAGUUAUAAAUAAAGUGAUUCAUCUUUAAGUCUUA